RNAcentral lists this non-coding RNA (28 nucleotides) under Rattus norvegicus (Norway rat). The record is from RNAcentral. Lineage: Eukaryota; Metazoa; Chordata; Mammalia; Rodentia; Muridae.
UGGCACGCAGUAAAAGAUCUGGGGGAAU